GGGGAUAUAGCUCAGUGGUAGAGCGCUUGCCUAGGAAGCGCAAGGCCCUGGGUUCGGUCCCCAGCUCCG
Non-coding RNA from Rattus norvegicus (Norway rat), 69 nucleotides. The record is from Rfam. NCBI's taxonomy places the organism in Eukaryota, Metazoa, Chordata, Mammalia, Rodentia, Muridae.